GCCUUAGAGUAUCACCCAAAUGCUUCUUGAACUCUGUCAGGCUUGGUGCUGUGACUACUCCCCUGGGGAACCUGUUCCAGUGCCCAAGCACCCUCUGGGUGAAGAACCUUUUUCUAAUAUCCAACCUAAACCUCUCCUGACAAAACUUCAGGCCAUUCCCUCAGUCCUGUCACCAGUUACCACAGAGAAGAGAUCAGUGUCUGCCCCUCCUCUUCCCCUCACAAGGAAGUUGUGACUGCAGUGAGGUCUCCCCUCAGUCUCCUCUUCUCCAGGGUCAACACACCAAGUGACCUCAGCUGCUCCUCAUAUGGCUUCCCCUCAAGGCCCUUCACCAUCUUUGUUCCCCUCCUUUGGACACUCUCUAAGAGUUUAAUAUCUUUCUUAUAUUGCAGUGCCCCAAACAGCACACAAUAUUCAAGGUGAGGCCACCCCAGUGCAGAGCAGAGCAGGACAAUCCCCUCACUCGACCAUCUGGUGAUGCUUUGCCUGAUGCCCCCCAGGACACAGUUGGCCCUCCUGGCUGCCAGGGCACUGCUGACUCAUUCAACUUGCCAUCGACCAGGACCCCCAGGUCCCUUUCUGUGGCACUGCUUUCCAGCAUCUCAUUCCCCAGUCUUUAUUUACAUCCAGGGUUGCCCCAUCCCAGGUACAGAAUCCGUCACUUUCUCGUGUUGAACUUAAUAUGGUUGGUGAUUGCCCAGUGCUCUUGUCAAGGUCUCUCUGCAAGGCCUCCCUGCCAUCAAGGGAGUCAACAGCUGCUCCCAAUUUAGUGUCACUGGCGAACUUAAUUAGUAUUACUUCAAGUCCUGCAGCCAAGUUGUUAAUGAAUAUAGUGAAGAGCACAGGGCCUAAGAUGGAGCCCUGUAGAACCCCACUCGUGACAGGUCACCAGUCUGAUGUCACCCUAUUCACUAUGACCCUCUGUGUUCCACCCAUGAUCCAAUUGCUCACAUACCACAUCCUGUCCGUAUCCAGCUGUGUGCUGGACAUUUUGUCCAGAAGGAUCCUGUGAGAGACAGUAUCAAAAGCUUUACUGAAAUCCAAAAAGAUUACAUCAACUGGCUUCUCUUGAUCAGCUGUGUGGGUUACCUUGUCCUAGAAGGAAAUCAGGUUGGAUAAGCAGGACUCUCCUCUCCUGAAGCUAUGCUGGCUCUGACCAAUGCCUGCAUUGUCCUUCAGAGACCAAUGGUGUCUCCCCACACAUAAGCUGCUGCUGGUGUCUAUUUGGAGUAGUUUCACUGAAGUUUUACACAGCGUUACAGAGAUAAUGGGUCCCCAUGCUGCUGCUUCAGUUGAGAUGGAUGCAGAGAUGAAGCUCCUGAUUGUGUCAUACUCUGUCCAUGCAGCUGCUUGGGCUUUUACUGCCUGAAUUUACUGACUGUUUACAAACCAGAACUAACCUAAAUUCACAAAAUCUGACUGACUGACUUGGAAGGUCAAAUCACCUUCCAAGAUGCCUGAGUGUCCUUGAACUGUGUCUCUUGAAAGAUACAAAUAUAAUUUAUGAGAGUUGAGACCGACUAGGCAGUCAAACUU
Molecule: long non-coding RNA, 1536 nt
Organism: Pseudopipra pipra
Lineage: Eukaryota; Metazoa; Chordata; Aves; Passeriformes; Pipridae
Exons: 3
Source: RefSeq, a predicted model, not a curated record